AGUUUGAUCAUGGCUCAGGAUGAACGCUGGCGGCGUGCCUAAUACAUGCAAGUCGAGCGAACAGACGAGGAGCUUGCUCCUUUGACGUUAGCGGCGGACGGGUGAGUAACACGUGGGUAACCUACCUAUAAGACUGGGAUAACUUCGGGAAACCGGAGCUAAUACCGGAUAAUAUUUCGAACCGCAUGGUUCGAUAGUGAAAGAUGGCUCUGCUAUCACUUAUAGAUGGACCUGCGCCGUAUUAGCUAGUUGGUAAGGUAACGGCUUACCAAGGCAACGAUACGUAGCCGACCUGAGAGGGUGAUCGGCCACACUGGAACUGAGACACGGUCCAGACUCUACGGGAGGCAGCAGUAGGGAAUCUUCCGCAAUGGGCGAAAGCUGACGGAGCAACGCCGCGUGAGUGAUGAAGGUCUUCGGAUCGUAAAACUCUGUUAUUAGGGAAGAACAAACGUGUAAGUAACUGUGCACGUCUUGACGGUACCUAAUCAGAAAGCCACGGCUAACUACGUGCCAGCAGCCGCGGUAAUACGUAGGUGGCAAGCGUUAUCCGGAAUUAUUGGGCGUAAAGCGCGCGUAGGCGGUUUNNNAAGUCUGAUGUGAAAGCCCACGGCUCNACCGUGGAGGGUCAUUGGAAACUGGAAAACUUGAGUGCAGAAGAGGAAAGUGGAAUUCCAUGUGUAGCGGUGAAAUGCGCAGAGAUAUGGAGGAACACCAGUGGCGAAGGCGACUUUCUGGUCUGUAACUGACGCUGAUGUGCGAAAGCGUGGGGAUCAAACAGGAUUAGAUACCCUGGUAGUCCACGCCGUAAACGAUGAGUGCUAAGUGUUAGGGGGUUUCCGCCCCUUAGUGCUGCANNNAACGCAUUAAGCACUCNGCCUGGGG
RNAcentral lists this ribosomal RNA (885 nucleotides) under Staphylococcus sp. RNAcentral's name for it is "bacterial SSU rRNA". It matches the Rfam family "Bacterial small subunit ribosomal RNA", at positions 10 to 878 of the family's 1533-position model. Lineage: Bacteria; Bacillati; Bacillota; Bacilli; Caryophanales; Staphylococcaceae. The record is from RNAcentral.